Molecule: non-coding RNA, 90 nt
Filed under: uncultured Lawsonibacter sp.
Lineage: Bacteria; Bacillati; Bacillota; Clostridia; Eubacteriales; Oscillospiraceae
Description: Glycine riboswitch
Rfam family: Glycine riboswitch aptamer
About the family: This family represents the bacterial glycine riboswitch. Glycine riboswitches usually consist of two metabolite-binding aptamers domains with similar structures in tandem.
Source: RNAcentral
GUAACUCUGGAGAAACUCGAAAACGAGUGCCGAAGGUGCAAGGCGGGGCGGCGUGUCCCGUUAAUCUCUCAGGCAAAAGGACAGAGGAAA